AUUGAACGCUGGCGGCAUGCCUUACACAUGCAAGUCGAACGGCAGCGCGGGAGCAAUCCUGGCGGCGAGUGGCGAACGGGUGAGUAAUAUAUCGGAACGUGCCCAGUAGUGGGGGAUAGCCCGGCGAAAGCCGGAUUAAUACCGCAUGAGACCUGAGGGUGAAAGCGGGGGAUCGCAAGACCUCGCGCUACUGGAGCGGCCGAUAUCAGAUUAGCUAGUUGGUGGGGUAAAGGCCUACCAAGGCAACGAUCUGUAGUUGGUCUGAGAGGACGACCAGCCACACUGGGACUGAGACACGGCCCAGACUCCUACGGGAGGCAGCAGUGGGGGAAUUUUGGACAAUGGGCGCAAGCCUGAUCCAGCAAUGCCGCGUGCAGGAAGAAGGCC
This 387-nucleotide ribosomal RNA is filed under the name uncultured bacterium. RNAcentral describes it as "bacterial SSU rRNA". It matches the Rfam family "Bacterial small subunit ribosomal RNA", at positions 29 to 416 of the family's 1533-position model. The record is from RNAcentral.